This 559-nucleotide ribosomal RNA is filed under the name uncultured bacterium. RNAcentral describes it as "bacterial SSU rRNA". It matches the Rfam family "Bacterial small subunit ribosomal RNA", at positions 120 to 674 of the family's 1533-position model. The record is from RNAcentral.
GGGGAUCUGCCCGAUAGAGGGGGAUAACCACUGGAAACGGUGGCUAAUACCGCAUAACGUCGCAAGACCAAAGAGGGGGACCUUCGGGCCUCUCACUAUCGGAUGAACCCAGAUGGGAUUAGCUAGUAGGCGGGGUAAUGGCCCACCUAGGCGACGAUCCCUAGCUGGUCUGAGAGGAUGACCAGCCACACUGGAACUGAGACACGGUCCAGACUCCUACGGGAGGCAGCAGUGGGGAAUAUUGCACAAUGGGCGCAAGCCUGAUGCAGCCAUGCCGCGUGUAUGAAGAAGGCCUUCGGGUUGUAAAGUACUUUCAGCGGGGAGGAAGGCGGUGCGGUUAAUAACCGCGCCGAUUGACGUUACCCGCAGAAGAAGCACCGGCUAACUCCGUGCCAGCAGCCGCGGUAAUACGGAGGGUGCAAGCGUUAAUCGGAAUUACUGGGCGUAAAGCGCACGCAGGCGGUCUGUUAAGUCAGAUGUGAAAUCCCCGGGCUUAACCUGGGAACUGCAUUUGAAACUGGCAGGCUUGAGUCUCGUAGAGGGGGGUAGAAUUCCAGGU